This 25-nucleotide non-coding RNA is filed under the name Bombyx mori (domestic silkworm). Lineage: Eukaryota; Metazoa; Arthropoda; Insecta; Lepidoptera; Bombycidae. The record is from RNAcentral. RNAcentral also lists the same sequence under 5 other names.
GCAUCGGUGGUUCAGUGGUAGAAUG